UGAUUGCCAUUUGGAGAGGUUACUGCAUGCAGCAGCCUUCCACUCCCCGAAAAGAGAAAAGGGCAUGGACUUUUUUUUGGGAUACUUCCACAACGAUGUGAAGGGAAGAGAAGAAAUAAGAGGGAAGGGAUCGAGAUGGCUGCCGCUGAGGUUCAGCAGGUCCUCCCCAGUCCCUUAGUUUAAUCUACCUUUCAGGUUGGCAUA
Molecule: long non-coding RNA, 204 nt
Filed under: Elaeis guineensis (African oil palm)
Lineage: Eukaryota; Viridiplantae; Streptophyta; Magnoliopsida; Arecales; Arecaceae
Description: long non-coding RNA (EGUI_LNC027143)
Source: RNAcentral